GACGAACGCUGGCGGCGUGCUUAACACAUGCAAGUCGAACGGAAAGGCUCCAGCUUGCUGGAGUACUCGAGUGGCGAACGGGUGAGUAACACGUGGGUAAUCUGCCCUGCACUCUGGGAUAAGCCUGGGAAACUGGGUCUAAUACUGGAUAUGACCUUUCUCCUUAUGGGGCUUGGUGGAAAGUUUUUCGGUGUAGGAUGAGCCCGCGGCCUAUCAGCUUGUUGGUGGGGUGAUGGCCUACCAAGGCGACGACGGGUAGCCGGCCUGAGAGGGUGAUCGGCCACAUUGGGACUGAGAUACGGCCCAGACUCCUACGGGAGGCAGCAGUGGGGAAUAUUGCACAAUGGGCGGAAGCCUGAUGCAGCGACGCCGCGUGAGGGAUGACGGCCUUCGGGUUGUAAACCUCUUUCAGCAGGGACGAAGCGUAAGUGACGGUACCUGCAGAAGAAGCACCGGCUAACUAUGUG
RNAcentral lists this ribosomal RNA (467 nucleotides) under uncultured bacterium. RNAcentral's name for it is "partial 16S ribosomal RNA". It matches the Rfam family "Bacterial small subunit ribosomal RNA", at positions 28 to 507 of the family's 1533-position model. The record is from RNAcentral.